AUGCAAAGUGACUGGGGUGGUGAGUAUGAAAAACUAAAUUCUUUCUUUCAAAAGCUUGGCAUAUCACACCAUGUAUCUUGUCCUCAUGCUCACCAACAAAAUAGAUCCGCUGAAAGAAAGCACCGUCACAUAGUUGAUAUGGGGCUUGCCUUGUUAGCAAAUGCUUCCAUGCCGCUUAAAUUUUGGGAUGAAGCAUUCUUAACUGCUACAUAUCUCAUCAACUUGCUUCCAAGUAAAGUUAUCAAAUUUGAAACACCCAUUACACGACUUCUUGGUGUCACACCCAACUAUACAUCUCUUCGUAUUUUUGGUUGUGCCUGUUGGCCCAAUCUUAGGCCUUACAACACACGCAAACUCGCUUUCCGCUCAAAACGGUGUGUCUUUUUAGGCUAUAGCCCCAUGCAUAAAGGGGUCAAGUGCCUUGAUGUUCCUACUGGUCGGGUGUAUAUAUCCAGAGAUGUUGUAUUUGAUGAGUCCGUGUUUCCCUUUGCAUCCCUUCAUCCUAAUGCUGGUGCACUUCUCCGCAAAGAAAUUCUUCUUCUUCCUUCACAUCUUCGGUCUUUUGAUCAUGGGGGCAACAACAAUUGUACUAACCAAUGUGAUGAUAUUCCUGCUGGUACUGGUCUUUCUCUUAUGCCUGUGCAGGUCCCUGGAGAAAACGGUGCUCAAAAUGACCAAGAUCUCGAAAAUAUGGCUGGUUUUGAUCCUAUAUUUCAUGCUGAGGAAGGAGACGAAGCUGGCACAGAUGACGAAGAAGAUCUGGCGGUGCCUGCCACCCCUGCACGCGCGCAGAUCUCGGAUCACGCGACCGCAUCCGCCUCGGAUCAAGCCCCUGAUGGCUCCAAUCCUGGAUCCAGGGCGGGCCACUCCCGUGCUGCCGCGUCAGCUUCAGGCGGGACCAGCAGCGGGGCCGAAUCCCCCUCGCCCCGCGCGCCAGCGUCAGGCGGGACUAGCGGCGGGACCAGAUCCUCCCCGCACCACGUGCGCCUCCAGUCGCGGUCGGGUGGCGGAUCCUCUGCGCCAGUGCCUGCAGAAGGGGCAGCCACACCAGAAGCCACAGGAUCCCCUGCGCAUAUGACGACAAAUCAGUCCACUGCAUCAGCAGAUUCUCCUGGAUCUUCCGUGGCAAGUAUACCAGCGGUGCAGCGAGAGGUUUCUUCACGUGUUAUGACCCGGCUACAGAAAGGUAUACGGAAUCCUAAAAUUAGGAAAGAUGGAACUAUACCAUAUGGAAUGUUGUGUAUUUCAGGAGAACCAACAUCGUUGAAGAAUGCACUUGAUGAUCCUAAAUGGAAAAAGGCAAUGGAUGAGGAGUAUUCUGCGCUCAUGAGGAAUAAGACUUGGCAUCUUGUACCAAAUCAGAGAGGUAAAAAUAUUAUUGAUUGCAAAUGGGUGUAUAGAAUUAAGAAGAAGGCAGAUGGCUCCAUUGACAGAUAUAAGGCACGUCUAGUUGCAAAGGGCUUUAAGCAACGUUAUGGCAUUGACUAUGAGGACACCUUUAGUCCCGUUGUGAAAGCUGCAACUAUCAGACUUGUGUUAGCCAUUGUUGUAUCCAGAGGAUGGAGUUUAAGGCAGCUAGAUGUACAGAAUGCGUUUCUGCACGGUGUUCUGGAAGAGGAAGUGUUUAUGAGACAACCACCUGGGUAUGAGAGUAAGAAAUUGCCACAGUAUGUCUGCAAGCUUGAUAAAGCACUCUAUGGUCUAAAGCAAGCACCCAGAGCAUGGUAUUCCAGAUUGAGCUCACAGUUAAAAUAUCUUGGCUUUGUUGCUUCCAAGGCUGACACAUCCUUGUUUAUUUAUAACAAGGCAGGAGUAGUCAUUUUUGUGCUUAUAUAUGUUGAUGAUAUCAUAGUUGCAAGUUCUUCACAAAAUGCUACUAAUGCUCUUUUGCAUGAUUUGAGCUCAGAGUUUGCCUUGAAGGACCUAGGUGAUUUGCAUUUCUUCUUGGGUAUUGAAGUCAAGAAAACUCAAGAUGGUAUUGUGUUACAUCAGGAAAAAUAUAUUCUUGAGCUUCUGUCUCGCAUGGGGAUGAAAAAUUGCAAGCCAAUGCCUACACCUUUAUCCUCCUCAGAAAGUCUCUCAGCAUAUGAGGGUGAGCCACUUCAAGAGGAGGAGAAUACAAGGUAUAGGAGUACUGUGGGAGCACUACAAUAUUUAACUCUCACACGUCCAGAUAUCUCAUUUGCUGUCAACAAGGUUUGUCAAUAUCUUCAUGCACCUACUUCUGCACAUUGGUCAGCUGUCAAGAGGAUUGUGAGAUAUGUGAAACAUACUAUGGGAAUAGGACUUCAUUUCAAACGGUCUAAUUCUUCUCUUGUGAGUGCAUUCUCUGAUGCUGACUGGGCAGGAUGUAGUGAUGACAGAAGAUCAACUGGAGGUUUUGCAGUGUUCUUUGGAUCUAAUCUUAUCUCCUGGAGUGCUAGAAAGCAAGCUACUGUGUCACGCUCAAGUACAGAAGCUGAAUACAAGUCUUUGGCUAAUGCAACUGCUGAGAUCAUUUGGGUUGAAUCACUUCUUGAGGAAUUGAGAAUCAAGAAGAAUCGUAUCUCAUGCUUAUGGUGUGAUAAUUUGGGAGCAACAUAUCUGUCUGCAAAUCCAGUGUUCCAUGCCAGGACAAAGUACAUAGAAAUUGAUUUUCACUUUGUACGAGAAAGGGUUGCGGCAAGGAAACUUGAGAUUCGAUUUAUUCCUUCUAAGGAUCAAGUGGCUGACGGUUUUACAAAAGCACUACCAGCAAGACCAUUUGAAGAAUUCAAGAGUAAUCUUAACUUAGGUUAG
This 2778-nucleotide ribosomal RNA is filed under the name Triticum aestivum (bread wheat). RNAcentral describes it as "partial small subunit ribosomal RNA". Lineage: Eukaryota; Viridiplantae; Streptophyta; Magnoliopsida; Poales; Poaceae. The record is from RNAcentral.